Long non-coding RNA from Esox lucius (northern pike), 472 nucleotides. RefSeq lists it as uncharacterized. Lineage: Eukaryota; Metazoa; Chordata; Actinopteri; Esociformes; Esocidae. The transcript is spliced from 3 exons. The record is from RefSeq and is a predicted model, not a curated record.
AGUCCCCCACCACCUUGGUAGAGAUGGCAACACAUUUGUUGUGGUAAACUUGUCCUCAUCCCUUCACCUGCUCAGCUAAACUAAACCCAUCCACGUGUUCCAGAGACGGUCCUGAUUGAAUGGAUUUACUUGUGAUUUGGUCAUUCUGGUUGGCUAUGUGAGAAGACAACCAACGCUGACAAGUCCGGAUGGAUUCAGCUAUGUCUAUGCAGAAAAGGGCGAUUAGCAAUGCCUAUCAGUACAACGCAGCUUGGGGCCUGAGGGAGAUGAACAAGCUGAAGAAGAACUUUCCGCAGCCAGAAUGGACACGUCGGUGACGCCGUUCCCAGAAGCUCUUCAUGACACACUGCCCCAGCGAUGCAGGAUGUGCCAGAGGAAGAUAGCCAGGAGACGGAGGUUGUAGUCUGCCACGGUUUCAACCACGUGCACCCGUUCCAGCUAAAACGCCACUUUGUGACUGAUCCAAUGAGUA